UACGUAGGGCGCAAGCGUUAUCCGGAAUUAUUGGGCGUAAAGAGCUCGUAGGCGGUUUGUCGCGUCUGCCGUGAAAGUCCGGGGCUCAACUCCGGAUCUGCGGUGGGUACGGGCAGACUAGAGUGAUGUAGGGGAGACUGGAAUUCCUGGUGUAGCGGUGAAAUGCGCAGAUAUCAGGAGGAACACCGAUGGCGAAGGCAGGUCUCUGGGCAUUAACUGACGCUGAGGAACGAAAGCAUGGGGAGCGAACAGG
RNAcentral lists this ribosomal RNA (253 nucleotides) under uncultured bacterium. RNAcentral describes it as "partial 16S ribosomal RNA". It matches the Rfam family "Bacterial small subunit ribosomal RNA", at positions 524 to 776 of the family's 1533-position model. The record is from RNAcentral.